CGGGGGGGCAAGCGUUGUUCGGAAUUACUGGGCGUAAAGGGUCUGUAGGUGGCUUGCUAAGUCAGACGUGAAAUCCCUCAGCUUAACUGGGGAACUGCGUCUGAGACUGGCGAGCUUGAGUGCAGGAGAGGAACGCGGAAUUCCAGGUGUAGCGGUGAAAUGCGUAGAUAUCUGGAGGAACACCGGUGGCGAAGGCGGCGUUCUGGACUGCAACUGACACUGAGAGACGAAAGCCAGGGGAGCAAACGGGAUUAGAUACCCCGGUAGUCCUGGCCCUAAACGAUGAAUGCUAGGUGUGGCGGGUAUCGAUCCCUGCCGUGCCGUAGUUAACGCGUUAAGCAUUCCGCCUGGGGAGUCCGGUCGCAAGGCUG
RNAcentral lists this ribosomal RNA (371 nucleotides) under uncultured organism. Its description in RNAcentral is "bacterial SSU rRNA". It matches the Rfam family "Bacterial small subunit ribosomal RNA", at positions 527 to 896 of the family's 1533-position model. The record is from RNAcentral.